This 84-nucleotide transfer RNA is filed under the name Gemmatimonadota bacterium. RNAcentral describes it as "Gemmatimonadetes bacterium (marine metagenome) tRNA-Leu". It matches the Rfam family "tRNA". Rfam says of the family: Transfer RNA (tRNA) molecules are approximately 80 nucleotides in length. Their secondary structure includes four short double-helical elements and three loops (D, anti-codon, and T loops). Further hydrogen bonds mediate the characteristic L-shaped molecular structure. tRNAs have two regions of fundamental functional importance: the anti-codon, which is responsible for specific mRNA codon recognition, and the 3' end, to which the tRNAs corresponding amino acid is attached (by aminoacyl-tRNA synthetases). tRNAs cope with the degeneracy of the genetic code in two manners: having more than one tRNA (with a specific anti-codon) for a particular amino acid; and 'wobble' base-pairing, i.e. permitting non-standard base-pairing at the 3rd anti-codon position. Lineage: Bacteria; Pseudomonadati; Gemmatimonadota. The record is from RNAcentral.
GCCGGGGUGGUGAAAUCGGUAAACACAGGGGACUUAAAAUCCCCCGGGCGAAAGCCCUUGCGGGUUCAAGUCCCGCCCCCGGCA